UGGUUCUGGCAUCGAUGAAGAACGCAGCGAAAUGCGAUAAGUAGUGUGAAUUGCAGAAUUCAGUGAAUCAUCGAAUCUUUGAACGCACAUUGCGCCCCUCGGUAUUCCUUGGGGCAUGCCUGUUCGAGCGUCAUUUACACCCUCAAGCCUUGCUUGGUGUUGGGCGUCUGUCCCGCCGCGAUUCUCGCGGGGACUCGCCCCAAAGUCAUUGGCAGUGGUCCUGCCGGGCCUCCUAAUCGCGCAGCACUGUUCGCGCUUCCUGGAGCCUGUGCGGACGCAACGUCCAGUAAGCUCACCUUUGAACUUGACCUCGGAUCAGGUAGGGAUACCCGCUGA
This 336-nucleotide unclassified non-coding RNA is filed under the name uncultured fungus. RNAcentral's name for it is "partial contains 5.8S ribosomal RNA and internal transcribed spacer 2". The stretch from base 1 to 133 matches the Rfam family "5.8S ribosomal RNA", at positions 22 to 154 of the family's 154-position model. The record is from RNAcentral. Lineage: Eukaryota; Fungi.